GAUGAACGCUAGCUACAGGCUUAACACAUGCAAGUCGAGGGGUAACGAGAGGAAAGCUUGCUUUCCUUGUCGACGACCGGCGCACGGGUGAGUAACGCGUAUCCAACCUGCCCCCAACUAGGGAAUAACCUUGCGAAAGUAAGACUAAUACCCUAUAAUUUCCUCAGAUGUCAUCUGACGAGGAAUAAAGAUUUAUCGGUUGUGGAUGGGGAUGCGUCUGAUUAGCUUGUUGGCGGGGUAACGGCCCACCAAGGCAACGAUCAGUAGGGGUUCUGAGAGGAAGGUCCCCCACAUUGGAACUGAGACACGGUCCAAACUCCUACGGGAGGCAGCAGUGAGGAAUAUUGGUCAAUGGGCGGAAGCCUGAACCAGCCAAGUAGCGUGCAGGAUGACGGCCCUAUGGGUUGUAAACUGCUUUUAUACAGGAAUAAAGUUAGCCACGUGUGGUUAUUUGUAGGUACUGUAGGAAUAAGGACCGGCUAUUUCCGUGCCAGCCGCCGCGGUAA
Molecule: ribosomal RNA, 506 nt
Filed under: uncultured bacterium
Lineage: Bacteria
Description: partial 16S ribosomal RNA
Rfam family: Bacterial small subunit ribosomal RNA
Source: RNAcentral